GGCGAUGUAGCUCAGCUGGUAGAGCAUUCUGAAUACGUACAUGUCUGCAGCAUGCACACAUUCGCGUAGAAAGGUCGCGGGUUCGAACCCCGUCAUCGUCA
RNAcentral lists this transfer RNA (101 nucleotides) under Candidatus Saccharimonadota bacterium. RNAcentral describes it as "tRNA-OTHER". It matches the Rfam family "tRNA". From Rfam's summary of the family: Transfer RNA (tRNA) molecules are approximately 80 nucleotides in length. Their secondary structure includes four short double-helical elements and three loops (D, anti-codon, and T loops). The record is from RNAcentral. Lineage: Bacteria; Candidatus Saccharimonadota.